This 593-nucleotide long non-coding RNA is filed under the name Equus asinus (donkey). Its description in RNAcentral is "lncRNA (ENSEASG00005033737.1)". Lineage: Eukaryota; Metazoa; Chordata; Mammalia; Perissodactyla; Equidae. The record is from RNAcentral.
GUAAGAGAAUAAAUUUGUGUUGUUUUAAGCCCCUAAGUUUGUGGUAAUUUGUUACAGCAGCAAUAGGAAACCAGUGCACCGCAUACCGACUCAUGCGUAUGCUCAUUACUUGUCUUCCCCCACUGGUCUAUGAACUCCACGAGGCCUUGGUCUAUUGUCUUGACCGUUGUAUCCCCUGGCACAGAGGCUGGCACAGGAAUGGCACCCCAUAAGUGUCUGUUGAAUGAACGAAUACACAGAGAGGCGGUGCACGAAGAGGGACUUCUGUGUGGCUGACUGCCCUGGGAGCAGAGGGGAUGUUUGAGCCACAAGAUGCAAGGAGCCUGGGACCCUGAAUUACCACGAGGAGAAAGCUGCAUGCCGGCCAGGAAGCCCCACACUGGAUUGUUAUAGAGAAACAUCGGGAAUGACAACACAAUGAGAUCAUGAUAAGAGGAAGCAGCUAAACCUGACAGGUCACCUCCUCCUCUCGUUCUAGCAACCCAGCCUCUCAUAAGAACAAGGAAGAGCAAAGUGACAGCUUCCAGAGCAAAGGGGAGACAUCUCGCAGCUCUGAGUAGAUAAGCUUAGUGCUGGCUUCACACGGAGGGGCA